Molecule: long non-coding RNA, 453 nt
Filed under: Homo sapiens (human)
Lineage: Eukaryota; Metazoa; Chordata; Mammalia; Primates; Hominidae
Description: HSALNT0257084
Source: RNAcentral
CGGCCUUUGUCUCUCGCUGCAGUCAGAGCUCCAGGUCUGGUUCUUCUCCUAAAGGCCCAGGCUGUGUGGCCCCGUGUCCUGCAGGUAUUGGGAGAUCCACAGCUAAGACACCGGGACCUCCUGGAAGCCAAAAAUGUUUGGGUCUAAGCUUACCAGGAUCAGCUUAGAUUGUGCGGUCUGAUCCCAGCCAAUAGGGGAUGGAAACAAAAACAGGAACUGCAUUAGGGUUCAAAACCCCUUUCUUGCUGGGCGCGGUGGCUCAAGCCUGUAAUCCCAGCACUUCGGAGGCCGAGGCAGGUGGAUCACGUGGUCAGGAGUUCUAGACCAGCCUGGCCAACGUGGUGAAACCCGUCUCUACUAAAAAUACGAAAACUAUCGGCGUGUUGGCACGUGCCUGUAGUACCAGCCACUUGGGAGGCUGAGGCACGAGAAUUGCUUGAACCCGGGAGGCGG